Anguilla rostrata (American eel) is the source of this 876-nucleotide long non-coding RNA. RefSeq lists it as uncharacterized. NCBI's taxonomy places the organism in Eukaryota, Metazoa, Chordata, Actinopteri, Anguilliformes, Anguillidae. The transcript is spliced from 2 exons. The record is from RefSeq and is a predicted model, not a curated record.
AAAACAACAACCAGGUAAACAGCGACACCUGGAGGUAACUCAACUUGUGUCUGGCCCGCCUGAAGGUGAUUUCCUUGCUGUGAGUUACAGUCAGUCCCACCCAUAAUUCGAUGUUCUUUUACCUGGAUAAAACUGGAAACAUGCCGCACUCGCUCCCCAACGAAAGUCAGGAGGAUCAGGAGCAGUGGAAAGGGGAGAUGGUGGAACGGUGGAGAGGGGAGAUGGUGGAGUGGCUGGGUGGAAUGUGAUGGUGCCGGACGGCAGGCAGAAGCAGGCCCUCUCAGCAGGAAUGCCUCUCCAACAGCGUGAGCUCGGCUCGGCUCAGAUUGCAAGAGUUGACUGGCAGAUCUGAUAAGGCUUUUCUUUUGCGCACCUGAAAUUUAAUAUACCAUACACCUCUGUUAGCACAAACAUAACACACUAUACAUCACCAUUGACAUUAGUGGUGGGACAGUUUACUCAAGCAGAUUCUUAAAAAUCUAACUCGGAAAAUCAGAAAUAGUUUCUUUUUUGCAUUUUUCAAAACAUCAUUGCCAUAGUAAUGAGACAAAGCUUGUAUAACCUACAUGUUUCAUUUAAUUUGGUAUUAAAUGUGCUGUGAUUUGGUGUGGUGUUAAAUGUUCUGUGAUUUUGUGUGGUAUUGAAUGUGCUGUGAUUUGGUGUGGUAUUAAAUGUGUUGUGAUUUGGUGUGGUAUUGAAUGUGGUGUGAUUUGGUGUGGUAUUGAAUGUGCUGUGAUUUGGUGUGGUAUUAAAUGUGUUGUGAUUUGGUGUGGUAUUGAAUCUGCUGUGAUUUGGUGUGGUAUUCAAUGUGUUGUGAUUUGGUGUGGUAUUGAAUCUGCUGUGAUUUGGUGUGGUAUUCAAUGUGCUGUGAUUUGG